AUGGUGCUUGGAGAUUUUAACUUGAUCCGUUUCCCCCACGAGAAAAACAAUGAUCGGUUUGAUGCCUCCCGCGCUGCGGUUUUUAACUCUCUCAUGAACAGUCUUGCACUGCAUGAGCUCGCUCUGUCUGAUCGUCUAUUCACCUGGACUAAUAAGCGAGACCCGCCCACGCUGGCUCACUUAGACCGUGUCUUCUUCGACUCGGCCUGGGACGUAGCCUUCCCGGACUCGUCCCUCUCCUCCCGCCCACGCCCCACCUCGGACCACGUCCCCCUGGUCGUGGAAGCGCUAACCAAAAUCCCUUCAUCUCCGCGUUUUUUCUUUGAGAACGCCUGGCUCCGCGACCCUCAGUUCCUCCCGUCCACCCUUCCUUCCCGGUCGAACGUUGGUCAUGGGCGGUGCGCGGUGGGCUGCUUGGCAGCCCGCAAGAAGAGGUACAGAGCUGCGGUCAAGGUUUGGAAAAGGCAACACAAGUUCAUUCCCACUUUCGAUAAUGACUGUAAAUUCUUGAUUGACUUGGUUGAUUUUUGGGAGGAAUGCCGUCCUUUAUCUGUAGAUGAAAUCCGGCUCCGUCAUGACUCACGACUGGCGCUAGUGGCCUCGAUCAAGCGCCAGAGCGUGUACUAG
Molecule: ribosomal RNA, 627 nt
Filed under: Triticum aestivum (bread wheat)
Lineage: Eukaryota; Viridiplantae; Streptophyta; Magnoliopsida; Poales; Poaceae
Description: partial small subunit ribosomal RNA
Source: RNAcentral